Molecule: unclassified non-coding RNA, 346 nt
Filed under: soil metagenome
Description: partial contains 5.8S ribosomal RNA, internal transcribed spacer 2, and large subunit ribosomal RNA
Rfam family: 5.8S ribosomal RNA (bases 1-120)
Source: RNAcentral
GAUGAAGAACGCAGCGAAAUGCGAUAAAUAAUGUGAAUUGCAGAAUUCAGUGAAUCAUCGAGUCUUUGAACGCACAUUGCGCCCCCUGGUAUUCCGGGGGGCAUGCCUGUCCGAGCGUCAUUGCUGCCCUCAAGCACGGCUUGUGUGUUGGGCCCCCGUCCCCCCCUCCCGGGGGACGGGCCCGAAAGGCAGCGGCGGCACCGCGUCCGGUCCUCGAGCGUAUGGGGCUUUGUCACCCGCUCUGUAGGCCCGGCCGGCGCCUGCCGACCACCAUCAAUCUUUUUUCAGGUUGACCUCGGAUCAGGUAGGGAUACCCGCUGAACUUAAGCAUAUCAUAAGCGGAGGA